GAUGAACGCUGGCGGCGUGCCUAAUACAUGCAAGUCGAGCGAACAGACGAGGAGCUUGCUCCUCUGACGUUAGCGGCGGACGGGUGAGUAACACGUGGAUAACCUACCUAUAAGACUGGGAUAACUUCGGGAAACCGGAGCUAAUACCGGAUAAUAUAUUGAACCGCAUGGUUCAAUAGUGAAAGACGGUUUUGCUGUCACUUAUAGAUGGAUCCGCGCCGCAUUAGCUAGUUGGUAAGGUAACGGCUUACCAAGGCAACGAUGCGUAGCCGACCUGAGAGGGUGAUCGGCCACACUGGAACUGAGACACGGUCCAGACUCCUACGGGAGGCAGCAGUAGGGAAUAUUCCGCAAUGGGCGAAAGCCUGACGGAGCAACGCCGCGUGAGUGAUGAAGGUCUUCGGAUCGUAAAACUCUGUUAGUAGGGAAGAACAAAUGUGUGUGUAACUAUGCACGUCUUGACGGUACCUAAUCAGAAAGCCACGGCUAACUACGUG
This 497-nucleotide ribosomal RNA is filed under the name uncultured bacterium. RNAcentral describes it as "partial 16S ribosomal RNA". It matches the Rfam family "Bacterial small subunit ribosomal RNA", at positions 28 to 507 of the family's 1533-position model. The record is from RNAcentral.